UAGGGAAUCUUCGGCAAUGGACGAAAGUCUGACCGAGCAACGCCGCGUGAGUGAAGAAGGUUUUCGGAUCGUAAAACUCUGUUGUUAGAGAAGAACAAGGACGUUAGUAACUGAACGUCCCCUGACGGUAUCUAACCAGAAAGCCACGGCUAACUACGUGCCAGCAGCCGCGGUAAUACGUAGGUGGCAAGCGCUGUCCGGAUUUAUUGGGCGUAAAGCGAGCGCAGGCGGUUUCUUAAGUCUGAUGUGAAAGGCUCCGGCUCAACCGGGGUGGGUUAUUGGAAACUGGGAGACUUGGGUGCAGAAGAGGAGGGGGGAAUUCCAUGUGUAGCGGUGAAAUGCGUAGCUAUAUGGAGGAACACCAGUGGCGAAGGCGGCUCUCUGGUCUGUAACUGACGCUGAGGCUCGAAAGCGUGGGGAGCAAACAGG
RNAcentral lists this ribosomal RNA (429 nucleotides) under Gemmatimonadota bacterium. RNAcentral's name for it is "Gemmatimonadetes bacterium partial 16S ribosomal RNA". It matches the Rfam family "Bacterial small subunit ribosomal RNA", at positions 355 to 776 of the family's 1533-position model. Lineage: Bacteria; Pseudomonadati; Gemmatimonadota. The record is from RNAcentral.